This 72-nucleotide transfer RNA is filed under the name Camelus bactrianus (Bactrian camel). It matches the Rfam family "tRNA". Rfam says of the family: Transfer RNA (tRNA) molecules are approximately 80 nucleotides in length. Their secondary structure includes four short double-helical elements and three loops (D, anti-codon, and T loops). Lineage: Eukaryota; Metazoa; Chordata; Mammalia; Artiodactyla; Camelidae. The record is from Rfam by way of RNAcentral. RNAcentral also lists the same sequence under 2 other names.
GAAGGUAUAGCUCAAUGGUAGAGUGCAUGCCUAGCAUGCACAAGUUGCUGGGUUCAAUUCCCAGUACCUCCA